AACGAACGCUGGCGGCAUGCCUAACACAUGCAAGUCGAACGAGAUCUUCGGGUCUAGUGGCGCACGGGUGCGUAACGCGUGGGAAUUUGCCCUCUGGUUCGGAAUAACAGUUGGAAACGACUGCUAAAAGCGGAUGAUGACGACAGUCCAACGAGUUAUCGCCAGAGGAUGAGCCCGCGUCGGAUUAGCUAGUUGGUGUGGUAAAGGCACACCAAGGCGACGAUCCUUAGCCGGUCUGAGAGGAUGAUCAGCCACACUGAGACUGAGACACGGCCCAGACUCGUACGGGAGGCAGCAGUGGGGAAUAUUGGCCAAUGGGCGAAAGCCUGAUCCAGCAAUGCCGCGUGAGUGAUGAAGGCCUUAGGGUUGUAAAGCUCUUUUACCCGGGAUGAUAAUGACAGUACCGGGAGAAUAAGCUCCGGCUAACUCCGUGCCAGCCGCCGCCGUAA
Molecule: ribosomal RNA, 449 nt
Filed under: uncultured bacterium
Lineage: Bacteria
Description: partial 16S ribosomal RNA
Rfam family: Bacterial small subunit ribosomal RNA
Source: RNAcentral